Molecule: non-coding RNA, 54 nt
Organism: Salmo salar (Atlantic salmon)
Lineage: Eukaryota; Metazoa; Chordata; Actinopteri; Salmoniformes; Salmonidae
Source: Rfam
UCUUUGCUUUACUGCAAGUCGCUCUGGAUAAGAGCAUCUGCUAAAUGACAAAAA